RNAcentral lists this ribosomal RNA (497 nucleotides) under uncultured bacterium. RNAcentral's name for it is "partial 16S ribosomal RNA". It matches the Rfam family "Bacterial small subunit ribosomal RNA", at positions 28 to 507 of the family's 1533-position model. The record is from RNAcentral.
GAUGAACGCUGGCGGCGUGCCUAAUACAUGCAAGUCGAGCGAACAGACGAGGAGCUUGCUCCUCUGACGUUAGCGGCGGACGGGUGAGUAACACGUGGAUAACCUACCUAUAAGACUGGGAUAACUUCGGGAAACCGGAGCUAAUACCGGAUAACAUGUUGAACCGCAUGGUUCAACAGUGAAAGACGGUCUUGCUGUCACUUAUAGAUGGAUCCGCGCCGCAUUAGCUAGUUGGUAAGGUAACGGCUUACCAAGGCAACGAUGCGUAGCCGACCUGAGAGGGUGAUCGGCCACACUGGAACUGGGACACGGUCCAGACUCCUACGGGAGGCAGCAGUAGGGAAUCUUCCGCAAUGGGCGAAAUCCUGACGGAGCAACGCCGCGUGAGUGAAGAAGGUCUUCGGAUCGUAAAACUCUGUUAUUAGGGAAGAACAAAUGUGUAAGUAACUAUGCACGUCUUGACGGUACCUAAUCAGAAAGCCACGGCUAACUACGUG